Molecule: long non-coding RNA, 1173 nt
Organism: Physeter macrocephalus (sperm whale)
Lineage: Eukaryota; Metazoa; Chordata; Mammalia; Artiodactyla; Physeteridae
Exons: 3
Source: RefSeq, a predicted model, not a curated record
CGGAGAGACAGUUCCAAAUAUUCGCGAAAAGGGAGAUUGCGAAAGACGCCGUCUACCCACAGAAGGUUGGGACGCCGAGGUUAGUCCCAUCUCACCCCAAGUAAAACCAGUCUAACAGAAGUACUGCAGGACUUCCCUGGUGGCGCAGUGGUUGGGAAUCUGCCUACCAAUGCAGGGGACACGGGUUCGAGCCCUGGUCUGGGAGAUCCCACAUGCUGCGGAGCAACUGAGCCCGUGCGCCACAACUACUGAGCCUGCGCUCUAGAGCCCACGAGCCAAAACUAGUGAGCCCGCACGCUGCAACUACUGAAGCCUGCACGCCUAGAGCCCAUGCUCUGCAACAAGAGAAGCCACUGCAAUGAGAAGCCUGCACACCACAAUGAAGGGUAGCCCCUGCUCACCGCAACUAGAGAAAGCCCGCGCACAGCAAUGAAGACCCAACACAGCCAAAAAUAAAAAAAAUAAAAAGUAUUGCAAGGUGACCUAUACUACUAGUGGUGUAUUAAACUUGGUUAUUAUUUCCAGCUGACAGAAAUUAGUUUUAUUGAAGGAUAAAACAAUUCCUUGGUGUAUUGCAGUAAUAAGACUUUACAUAUAAAAAUACAACAGAUUAAUGAAUUUUAGAUUCAGACAUCAAAAUCUUUAAAUUUUUAUAACACUUUAAUAACAGACAACAUUUUUUGAGUGCUUAUUAUUGCCAGGUGCCCUUCAAAGCAUUUAUUUGCAUUUAAGCUCAUCUUUUAGAUAAAGAAACAGAUCCUUAGAGACAUUAAGUAAUUUGCUAAAGGCCAUACUUUUAGGAACUAAAAGUUUCAGUUGGGUCUGAAACGUAGGUACAUUCCAAAGCACAUUAAAUACUAUACCAUACUUCUGUUUUUAUGUAAUAGGCAGUUGAAAAUAUGACCAUUCUUUUAAUAGAGAAGAAAAAAAGGCCCUGCCGCAAAAAGGGCAACAAUAUAGGCAAAUAUAAAUUUGGGAUUCCUAAGCUAAAAUUUACUGCCUCUGUCUUUUUCAAUUCCACAGUGUACUUUCUUGGAGUUUGAACUAUAUUCUCUACCUCUUUUUGUUUAGCUCAAGAAAAAGCAUGUGAUUUCUUCUGGUACUGCUGCUGCUACCAGUAUCUACCAGUAAUCUGAAGAAACAACUGCACUUCGAUGGAGAGGAAAAUCAUCU